This 468-nucleotide ribosomal RNA is filed under the name uncultured bacterium. RNAcentral describes it as "partial 16S ribosomal RNA". It matches the Rfam family "Bacterial small subunit ribosomal RNA", at positions 28 to 507 of the family's 1533-position model. The record is from RNAcentral.
GACGAACGCUGGCGGCGUGCUUAACACAUGCAAGUCGAACGGAAAGGCCCUGCUUUUGUGGGGUUCUCGAGUGGCGAACGGGUGAGUAACACGUGAGUAACCUGCCCUUGACUUUGGGAUAACUUCAGGAAACUGGGGCUAAUACCGGAUAGGAGCUCCUGCUGCAUGGUGGGGGUUGGAAAGUUUCGGCGGUUGGGGAUGGACUCGCGGCUUAUCAGCUUGUUGGUGGGGUAGUGGCUUACCAAGGCUUUGACGGGUAGCCGGCCUGAGAGGUGGACCGGCCACAAGAGGACUAAGAGACGGACCAGUCUGCUACGGGAGGCAGUAGUGGGGAAUAUGGCACAAUGGGCGGAAGUGUGAUGCGGCAACGCCGCGUGCGGGAUGACGUCCUACGGGUUGUAAACCGCUUUCGCCUGUGACGAAGCGUGAGUGACGGUACUGGGUAAAGAAGCACCGGCUAACUACGUG